Non-coding RNA from Lactuca sativa (garden lettuce), 3417 nucleotides. The record is from RefSeq and is a predicted model, not a curated record. NCBI's taxonomy places the organism in Eukaryota, Viridiplantae, Streptophyta, Magnoliopsida, Asterales, Asteraceae.
CGCAUGGAAGUUGUGGGGAAACAAUCCUCAUUUUACAAAACUCACGAUCCGGAGACGUGUAAGUUAGAAAGGUUUUAAUUUUGGAAAGGUUUUAUAAAGAACCGUUGGAAUUGGGAAGCCAAAAGGUUUGGGUCGGUGUAUUUGCGCAUAAAAUAUACGUUACGUUCUCCACUCUUCCUGCUUCACUUCACUCAUCCCGCUUCGUUCUCCAAACGCCGUCGGAGACAACUCAUCGCCACCUCUGUAACUCAGCUCACCGGAGACACAAGCACCCCCACCCUUCGAAACAAUGAGGAAUCAGACUUGUACUUAGAGCCAUCCUUCACCUAUAUAUAGAACUCGAAACUAUACCCAUCUCUUCUCAACCUGAUUUUAUGCCAGCAUGGUUCCGGUUAUUCAAUAAAGAAUUUGUACACAAUGUAUCCUUUGAUCAUCUAUUACAUAAAUUCCAUUCAUUACUCUGCAACAAGACAAGGUUUCAGAAACCAAAUACAAAACUUGUGGUUUAGAAAAGGAAAAGAAGAUGCCCCCAUGAAUCAAAGUGUUAACAUGUACACUUUUAGGUCCAUUGAAUCUCAAAUACCUUGCUUUAUCAAAUUACUGCCUUCAAUCCACUGAUUAGAAUUUACAAGUUGACAAAGUAUGGAAAUGAUAUACAUGUGUACAGGAAAUGAUGUGCUUAUUUUCAUAAAAAGAUGCUAAAUAUUGCAUGGAAAAUGCCUUCAACACUCAUUUAGUACGCCUGCAAAUUGAGACAUCAGGGAAGAGAAAUGCCACAUGGUGGUGGUCUUUGGUGGGUUGAAAUGUUAGAAACAAGUGGUGAAUAUAAAGAAGGUGAAGGAACCUCUUAGUUCAGCUAUGAUGCUGAACAAGCAUCUUAUUGCUGUUACCAUUUAGCCAAACCAAUUAUAUUAAGAAAGUAUGGAUUUUAUCUCAUUCUUUCUGAUGGUCUAUACAAGAAAUGCUAUCAGGUAUCGCAAAUUCUGUUAAUAUUUUAAUUGAUAAUUUUGUUUUACUAUUAGUAUUUAAUAGAUAAUUUUCUUUAAUAUUUACUUAUAAUAGCAAUGUAUUUAUAGCUUUUCAUCCAAAAACAACAAUUAUUAACUUGAAUAAACAUCAUAUGCCAAGUGCAAUUGUGUUGGUCAAUGCUUUAUGUAUGGUAUGAUAGAUUUUUUUUUUACAUUUGUUGGCAAGCAACUUAAGGCAUAAUAAUAGUGUAUAUCCAUCUGGAUUAUAGGUCAUAUCUUGGAUUCAAUGUGAGUAUGUAGUCUGCUUUCUAAAAACUCUGGAUGAAUUUAGUUUAAUAGAAGAAGAUUGUCAAAUAAGACAAGAGUAGUUGAUACAUAUGUUUCACACACAUGGGAUUAAUUUUUCCUAAAUCAAUGUACAUUUUUUUAUUGUUCCAUGGUUUGUUUUUUUAUCAACUAUAGAUUUCAUGUUCAUAUAUACACUCUUAAUGUAAACCCUAUGGCCUCUACAUUUCAUCACCAUAGUUACUGAUUUUGUUGUUGUGAUAGUUAAGGGUAAAACAAGGGUACAAUAGUGUUCUUCCAGAGAAAUUGAAGACAGGAAAUUGGUACCUUACAAUUUACAUCAUAAUUUUGUGUACUAAUACUUUCUUCACUGAAAUUGUAUAUAUUUGAAAAAAAAAACAUCACUAAUUUGCUUCCACAAUAGGUAUGCAUCUGAAACCUUCUGAGAUUACUAGUAGAUGGAGUUAUUUUUGGAGGAGAGUAUAUUGAGUGGUUUAUUAUUUUUUAAGGCAGAUUGGGUACAAAACAUAUACUUUAUUUUUUAAGGCAGAUUAGGCAUGUCACUUGUAUACUAGUUUAAUACUUGUUGGUUUUGUACCUUUCCAAAGAAAAUAAAGUUCAUGACAAAACAACUCUUUCUUUUUGGCUUACUUGCUAUAUUUUCAUUGGUGUAAGUCAACAGCUUGAACUUGUUGGAUGACAUGGCAAAACUGAGUUCAACCUACUGAGUUACACGAUUAUAUAACAGAGCAUAUGACGGUGUUAUGAAUGCAGUGAAGAGGCAAAAGCAUUAUUUAAAUUAAAGGAGAUUAUACCUCAAAACAUUUACUUAUAUGAAUGAGAAGGAUGGAUGUCCUCUUGGGUCAUGUAGGCCCCCCUAACCCUACUUGUGAUCAUCAGAAGACACGAAUGUAUUUCCUAUGAAUAACUUUCAAGAUCCUCUUCAAAAGAAAAUUUUCUUCAUUGGAGCUUCCAACAAAGAUCUCUCUCUCUCUCUCUCUCUCUCUCUCUUGUGAAUGGAACACCUUCAUCUUCAUUCAGAGGCUCUCCCUCUGAUAACAAUCAGAAGAUACUUGUUAUAGUUACUACUUUAGAAGACAAUCAUUUGGGCAGCAUGCAGCAAAACAGCAGGCAGAGGCCUUGUAGAUGGAUGGUCAAAGUCAAAGUCAAGGUAAAAAGGAAGGAGGAGAAAUAUUUCGGCUUCCAAAGACCACCAGCCUCUUGAAAUGGCCCCCAUUGAUCCCCCCCCCCCCCCCCCCCCCCAACCCAAAUAGUUCCCACUUCCCAAAGAGUCACUGAGUACCCUCUGACCCUCUUGAGGAUAACCGCAGCAGUCAAGAGCAACUAGAAAUCUGGAGAAAAAGCUAAAUGACUAUAUACGAUGCCAAGGUAAAUCUGAUACGAUAUUUGUUACUUAGUUGCAGUUUCAAUUCUUAUGCAGAAGAUGGAAAAGUGAAACGUGGUUACUUUGUUCAGACAUGGAGAUCGUUGCUGCAUUCCAAUGAGUCGGAAAGCUUUGACAUGAGAAGUCACAGCCACUCCAUCAGUAAAAUUCUAUUUUUAUUGGAUAUCUCUUUCUACAGUUUAUAUGACUUUCAACCAUGAGUCCAAGUUUGUGCAAUUUAUGGGAAUAAUAAUUAUCAGUUACAUAAUGGCCAUUCACCAGCUCGGCCUCAUAUGAUGUUUUGGAUUCACAGGUGUAUUAAUUAGCUCAAGGUUACAUUGAUGUGGAAUAAGGAGAUGCAUACCACUAAGAGGUAAUUUAUGAUUUCCUUUGGUUAAUAAAAGAAAAUUAUUCAAACCUAGAACAUCUAGAAAACUAUGAUACAUAAGCAAACAUGCUUUUUGUAAUACAUGCAUUUUUUUUAGGCACAUAAGAAAUUUAUGAUCUAGAUAAAUAUCUAUUUAUUCCUAAAUUUAAUUACCUAUUAUGACAUUAAUUAAUACGUAUAGUGGUUUUACUUUUACAUAGUUCAUAAACAGUCUUCCAAUUUGUCAUCUAUAGCAUGUACUAACAAUUUCCUUUGUUAUGAUUCCUUAUCCCAUCUAAACCUCACUGCAUUUCAGUAAUAUUGUUUUUCAAGAAAAUAACCUCAGGUGUUUAACACUAAAUUUUUCGUUUUUCAUGUUUUUUUUUACCCUUUUUGCUUAAAUUAUUCACCUU